This 1689-nucleotide ribosomal RNA is filed under the name Escherichia coli. RNAcentral's name for it is "partial 23S ribosomal RNA". It matches the Rfam family "Bacterial large subunit ribosomal RNA", at positions 1270 to 2925 of the family's 2925-position model. Lineage: Bacteria; Pseudomonadati; Pseudomonadota; Gammaproteobacteria; Enterobacterales; Enterobacteriaceae. The record is from RNAcentral. RNAcentral also lists the same sequence under 1 other name.
UUGCUGGAGGUAUCAGAAGUGCGAAUGCUGACAUAAGUAACGAUAAAGCGGGUGAAAAGCCCGCUCGCCGGAAGACCAAGGGUUCCUGUCCAACGUUAAUCGGGGCAGGGUGAGUCGACCCCUAAGGCGAGGCCGAAAGGCGUAGUCGAUGGGAAACAGGUUAAUAUUCCUGUACUUGGUGUUACUGCGAAGGGGGGACGGAGAAGGCUAUGUUGGCCGGGCGACGGUUGUCCCGGUUUAAGCGUGUAGGCUGGUUUUCCAGGCAAAUCCGGAAAAUCAAGGCUGAGGCGUGAUGACGAGGCACUACGGUGCUGAAGCGACAAAUGCCCUGCUUCCAGGAAAAGCCUCUAAGCAUCAGGUAACAUCAAAUCGUACCCCAAACCGACACAGGUGGUCAGGUAGAGAAUACCAAGGCGCUUGAGAGAACUCGGGUGAAGGAACUAGGCAAAAUGGUGCCGUAACUUCGGGAGAAGGCACGCUGAUAUGUAGGUGAAGCGACUUGCUCGUGGAGCUGAAAUCAGUCGAAGAUACCAGCUGGCUGCAACUGUUUAUUAAAAACACAGCACUGUGCAAACACGAAAGUGGACGUAUACGGUGUGACGCCUGCCCGGUGCCGGAAGGUUAAUUGAUGGGGUUAGCGGUAACGCGAAGCUCUUGAUCGAAGCCCCGGUAAACGGCGGCCGUAACUAUAACGGUCCUAAGGUAGCGAAAUUCCUUGUCGGGUAAGUUCCGACCUGCACGAAUGGCGUAAUGAUGGCCAGGCUGUCUCCACCCGAGACUCAGUGAAAUUGAACUCGCUGUGAAGAUGCAGUGUACCCGCGGCAAGACGGAAAGACCCCGUGAACCUUUACUAUAGCUUGACACUGAACAUUGAGCCUUGAUGUGUAGGAUAGGUGGGAGGCUUUGAAGUGUGGACGCCAGUCUGCAUGGAGCCGACCUUGAAAUACCACCCUUUAAUGUUUGAUGUUCUAACGUGGGCCCCUUACCGGGGUUGCGGACAGUGUCUGGUGGGUAGUUUGACUGGGGCGGUCUCCUCCUAAAGAGUAACGGAGGAGCACGAAGGUUGGCUAAUCCUGGUCGGACAUCAGGAGGUUAGUGCAAUGGCAUAAGCCAGCUUGACUGCGAGCGUGACGGCGCGAGCAGGUGCGAAAGCAGGUCAUAGUGAUCCGGUGGUUCUGAAUGGAAGGGCCAUCGCUCAACGGAUAAAAGGUACUCCGGGGAUAACAGGCUGAUACCGCCCAAGAGUUCAUAUCGACGGCGGUGUUUGGCACCUCGAUGUCGGCUCAUCACAUCCUGGGGCUGAAGUAGGUCCCAAGGGUAUGGCUGUUCGCCAUUUAAAGUGGUACGCGAGCUGGGUUUAGAACGUCGUGAGACAGUUCGGUCCCUAUCUGCCGUGGGCGCUGGAGAACUGAGGGGGGCUGCUCCUAGUACGAGAGGACCGGAGUGGACGCAUCACUGGUGUUCGGGUUGUCAUGCCAAUGGCACUGCCCGGUAGCUAAAUGCGGAAGAGAUAAGUGCUGAAAGCAUCUAAGCACGAAACUUGCCCCGAGAUGAGUUCUCCCUGACUCCUUGAGAGUCCUGAAGGAACGUUGAAGACGACGACGUUGAUAGGCCGGGUGUGUAAGCGCAGCGAUGCGUUGAGCUAACCGGUACUAAUGAACCGUGAGGCUUAACCUUACAACGCCGAAG